RNAcentral lists this ribosomal RNA (253 nucleotides) under uncultured bacterium. RNAcentral describes it as "partial 16S ribosomal RNA". It matches the Rfam family "Bacterial small subunit ribosomal RNA", at positions 524 to 776 of the family's 1533-position model. The record is from RNAcentral.
UACGAAGGGGGCUAGCGUUGCUCGGAAUCACUGGGCGUAAAGCGCACGUAGGCGGGUCGUUAAGUCAGGGGUGAAAUCCUGGAGCUCAACUCCAGAACUGCCCUUGAUACUGAAGAUCUUGAGUUCGGGAGAGGUGAGUGGAACUGCGAGUGUAGAGGUGAAAUUCGUAGAUAUUCGCAAGAACACCAGUGGCGAAGGCGGCUCACUGGCCCGAUACUGACGCUGAUGCACGAAAGCGUGGGGAGCAAACAGG